CCUACGGUGGGCAGCAGUGGGGAAUAUUGCACAAUGGGGGAAACCCUGAUGCAGCGACGCCGCGUGAGUGAAGAAGUAUCUCGGUACGUAAAGCUCUAUCAGCAGGGAAGAAAAUGACGGUACCUGCCUAAGAAGCCCCGGCUAACUACGUGCCAACAGCCGCGGUAAUACGUAGGGGGCAAGCGUGAUCCGGAUUCACUGGGUGUAAAGGGAGCGUAGACGGCAGCACAAGUCUGGAGUGAAAUCCCGGGGCUUAACCCCGGAACUGCUUUGGAAACUGUGCGGCUGGAGUGCGCGGAAGGCAGGCGGAAUUCGUGGUGUAGCGGUGAAAUGCUUAGAUAUCACGAAGAACCCCGAUUGCGAAGGCAGCCUGCCGCAGCGUUACUGACGCUGAAGCUCGAAAGCGCGGGUAUCGAACAGGAUUAGAUACCCCAGUAGUC
RNAcentral lists this ribosomal RNA (440 nucleotides) under uncultured bacterium. RNAcentral's name for it is "partial 16S ribosomal RNA". It matches the Rfam family "Bacterial small subunit ribosomal RNA", at positions 338 to 795 of the family's 1533-position model. The record is from RNAcentral.